RNAcentral lists this ribosomal RNA (250 nucleotides) under uncultured bacterium. RNAcentral describes it as "partial 16S ribosomal RNA". It matches the Rfam family "Bacterial small subunit ribosomal RNA", at positions 524 to 776 of the family's 1533-position model. The record is from RNAcentral.
UACGUAGGGUGCAAGCGUUGUCCGGAAUUAUUGGGCGUAAAGAGCUCGUAGGCGGUCUGUCGCGUCGGCUGUGAAAUCCGGAGCUCAACUCCGGUCUGCAGUCGAUACGGGCAAACUGGAGUACUGCAGGGGAGACUGGAAUUCCUGGUGUAGCGGUAGAAAUGCGCAGAUAGUCGGAGGAACACCUGAGGCGAAGGCGGGCUACUGGGCCGAUACUGACGCUGAUGCGCGAAAGCCAGGGAGCAACGGG